UCAAACUUGGUCAUUUAGAGGAAGUAAAAGUCGUAACAAGGUCUCCGUUGGUGAACCAGCGGAGGGAUCAUUAAAGAGUGUAACAACUCCCAAACCCAUGUGAACUUACCUUCUGUUGCCUCGGCAGGUCGCGCCUACCCUGUGAGACCCUACCCUGUAGAGUCUUACCCGGUGGACGCGGGUACCCCUGCCGGCGGCCUACAAAACUCUGUUUACUGAUGUUAUUUCUGAAUCUAUAACUAAAUAAGUUAAAACUUUCAACAACGGAUCUCUUGGUUCUGGCAUCGAUGAAGAACGCAGC
RNAcentral lists this unclassified non-coding RNA (301 nucleotides) under uncultured fungus. RNAcentral's name for it is "partial contains small subunit ribosomal RNA, internal transcribed spacer 1, and 5.8S ribosomal RNA". The stretch from base 1 to 73 matches the Rfam family "Eukaryotic small subunit ribosomal RNA", at positions 1759 to 1831 of the family's 1831-position model. The record is from RNAcentral. Lineage: Eukaryota; Fungi.